GAGGCAAGGGCGUCGCGAGUUAGAGCCCUACCCGACGUGCUGAGCUAGAGGUGCCCUACUGCAGGUAGAUGUUUUGUUUCGAGUUUAUGUAUAUAGUUGACUUAACUCGCUAGUACGAGUAGCCCUGUAUUUUGGUUGUGGACUAUGUAUAUGAAACUCAGUUUGUUUAGCUUUUGUUUCUCUAGCAGCUCUCUACUACUGUUCGUAGUAGUGUUUGAUCUACAGGUACAGCUAUCGCUUCGUAUACAGGGGAAAUUCCUUUGUAUACGGCGGAUUUGUCGGCGCGCCCGAGAAAGUGUAACCCGGGGCGUGACAUAGAGGAUAAACCUAACUAGAUUAGGAUUAAUAUUUAAAUCUAUUAGAGAUUGAUUAAGAUAGAUUUAGAUAUUAAUUGUAGUAGAAAUCCUAAAUAUAUUAGGAUUGGGGUACGUUUUAGUGGAGCCUUAUAAAUAGCUCUUUGUGGGUUUGUUUUUGAGUGAGUACGGGAGAGAGAGAAAAGGUCUCUUGGGUGCCGUACCAGAGAGAGAAAAAGAGAGAGAGAGAGAGUUAUUUAGUGCACCUAGUGCAUGGGUGCGCACGGAUGAUUGUCUUCUUUAUGGGAUUAUAGAAGACGAGAGAAGGGUAGGAGAGAUUCAGAAAGAGAGCUCAGAUUGUAGCUACUCUAUGCAGAAGAGGAGUCAGGUGUAAUCUUCUCUUAUUUAAUGAAUCUUAUUUUACCUGCAUAUUUUUCUCUUUUAUGAUUGUAUCAGCUUUUGCUGAGGAGACGGGUUUAUGGUAAAAACCCGAUUUGACGUUUCCGUUGCGGAAUCCCAACAAUCGAUACCGGAUCCACAGCAGUCGGUAUCGGAGCGGGUUGCGGAUUCACGAGAUCCGGUACCGGGGCGAGUACCGGAUUCCCAACAAGUGGUAUCAGAGCUGAAGGUUACCGAUCUGCGGGAGAGAUCGACGAAGAUGGCCACGAAAUUCGAAAUCGAGAAGUUCGACGGCAAGAACAAUUUCGGAUUGUGGCAAAUUAAAGUACGAGCGAUCCUCGUACAGCAAGAAUUGGACGAGACGUUGAACGGGAAGGAGGCGAAGCCGGCGGAGGUCACGGAUGCGGCAUGGACGAAGAUGGAGCGGAAGGCGCUGAGUACGCUUCAUCUAUUAUUAGCAGAUGAGGUUCUUUACAACGUAGCCAGCGAGACGACACCGGCGAAGUUGUGGAAGAAAUUGGAAGAUCUGUACAUGACCAAAUCCCUGACGAACAGAUUGUAUCUGAAGCAGCGACUGUUUACGUUGCGGAUGCAAGAAGCGGCGAGCCUACAUGAUCAUCUAAAUGAGUUCAACAAGGUGGUGGCCCAGUUGACCAGCAUCGGAGUCAAUCUGGAUGACGAAGACAAGGCGUUGAUCCUACUAUCUUCGCUACCGACGACAUAUGAGCAUCUGGUGACCACGUUGCUUUAUGGCAAGGAGUCCAUAAGCGUGGAGGCGGUCACGGCGGCGCUUCUCUCGAACGAGAUGCGGAAGAUGACUCAGGAGUCCGGCACGCAAAGUCAGGAUGUAGGACUGGUGGUGACUGCGAAGAAGGAGGCGAGAAUAUCGGCGACCGAAUAUCGACAGAAGAAACCGCUAUCUGAGGUAGAAUAUUUUUACUGUCACAGGAAAGGGCAUAUCAAGCGCAAUUGUCGAAAACUUCAGGAUGAUCUGAAGGAGUUAAAGCGACAGAAGGAGCAAACUGUCGUGAACCAGGACGAGACGGUAUCAGCGACGGCGCAGACAGCAGAGUCGGAGAUGAUCGAUUCUGAUGUACUGUAUGCGGCGACCGGAGGUGCGAAAAUUUCGGACGAUGCGUGGGUGCUCGAUUCGGCGUGUUCUUUUCACGUAUGCCCGGAGAAGGAGUCUUUUGCCACCUAUAAGGCGAUCAAAGGUGGAAAGGCACUGAUGGGGAACGGGACAACAUGCAAAGUUUUGGGAGUCGGCACGGUGAAGAUCCGAAUGCACGAUGGGGUCGUGAGGACGCUGACAGGUGUGCGGCACGUUCCUGGAUUGAAGCAGAAUUUGAUCUCGUUAGGCGCAUUGGACUCAAAGGGUUGCGAUAUUUCGGCUUCAGGUGGAGCUAUGAGAGUCCGAAAACGAGAUCGGGUCAUGUGCGAGGCGAACAAGCGUGGCAACUUAUACGUUCUGAACGGAAGCACAGUCAGAACGGGAGCGAAGACGGUUUGGGUUCCAAAAGUUCGCGGAUGUGCAGUUGCUCGAGACGGAGCGACGGAUGCGGCGACAUCGAGCGGAGGAGACAAGCUCAAGGUGGAGCUUGCAUGGUGAGCUCGACGUAGCGGUUGAAAAUUACAAAUCAAACCAAGGUGGAGAAUGUUAGGAUUUGGUUAGAUUUGUAGUUAAAUCCUAUUUGGAUAAGAAUUAAUAUUUAAAUCUGUUUGAGAUAAAUUAAGAUUUAAAUAUUAAUUAGAGGAUAAACCUAACUAGAUUAGGAUUAAUAUUUAAAUCUAUUAGAGAUUGAUUAAGAUAGAUUUAGAUAUUAAUUGGAGUAGAAAUCCUAAAUAUAUUAGGAUUGGGGUACGUUUUAGUGGAGCCUUAUAAAUAGCUCUUUGUGGGUUUGUUUUUGAGUGAGUACGGGAGAGAGAGAAAAGGUCUCUUGGGUGCCGUACCAGAGAGAGAAAAAGAGAGAGAGAGAGUUAUUUAGUGCACCUAGUGCAUGGGUGCGCACGGAUGAUUGUCUUCUUUAUGGGAUUAUAGAAGACGAGAGAAGGGUAGGAGAGAUUCAGAAAGAGAGCUCAGAUUGUAGCUACUCUAUGCAGAAAAGGAGUCAGGUGUAAUCUUCUCUUAUUUAAUGAAUCUUAUUUUACCCGCAUAUUUUCUGUUUUGGUAUUUCUCUCUUUUAUGAUUGUAUCAGUUUUUGUUGAGGAGACGGGUUUAUGGUAAAAACCCGAUUUGACGUUUCCGUUGCGGAAUCCCAACAAUCGAUACCGGAUCCACAGCAGUCGGUAUCGGAGCGGGUUG
This 2994-nucleotide long non-coding RNA is filed under the name Ananas comosus (pineapple). Its description in RNAcentral is "long non-coding RNA (ACOM_LNC043087)". Lineage: Eukaryota; Viridiplantae; Streptophyta; Magnoliopsida; Poales; Bromeliaceae. The record is from RNAcentral.